This 492-nucleotide ribosomal RNA is filed under the name uncultured bacterium. Its description in RNAcentral is "partial 16S ribosomal RNA". It matches the Rfam family "Bacterial small subunit ribosomal RNA", at positions 29 to 507 of the family's 1533-position model. The record is from RNAcentral.
AGUGAACGCUGGCGGUAGGCCUAACACAUGCAAGUCGAACGGCAGCACAGUAAGAGCUUGCUCUUACGGGUGGCGAGUGGCGGACGGGUGCGGAAUACAUCGGAAUCUACUUUUUCGUGGGGGAUAACGUAGGGAAACUUACGCUAAUACCGCAUACGACCUACGGGUGAAAGCAGGGGAUCUUCGGACCUUGCGCGAUUGAAUGAGCCGAUGUCGGAUUAGCUAGUUGGCGGGGUAAAGGCCCACCAAGGCGACGAUCCGUAGCUGGUCUGAGAGGAUGAUCAGCCACACUGGAACUGAGACACGGUCCAGACUCCUACGGGAGGCAGCAGUGGGGAAUAUUGGACAAUGGGCGCAAGCCUGAUCCAGCCAUGCCGCGUGGGUGAAGAAGGCCUUCGGGUUGUAAAGCCCUUUUGUUGGGAAAGAAAAGCAGCAGGUUAAUACCCCGCUGUUCUGACGGUACCCAAAGAAUAAGCACCGGCUAACUUCGUG